RNAcentral lists this ribosomal RNA (268 nucleotides) under uncultured prokaryote. RNAcentral's name for it is "partial 16S ribosomal RNA". It matches the Rfam family "Bacterial small subunit ribosomal RNA", at positions 524 to 792 of the family's 1533-position model. The record is from RNAcentral.
UACUGAGGGUGCGAGCGUUAAUCGGAAUUACUGGGCGUAAAGCGCGCGUAGGCGGUUUAUUAAGUCAGAUGUGAAAGCCCGGGCUUAACCUGGGAACUGCAUUUGAUACUGGUAAACUAGAGUUUGGUAGAGGGUGACGGAAUUCCAGGUGUAGCGGUGAAAUGCGUAGAUAUCUGGAGGAACAUCAGUGGCGAAGGCGGUUGCCUGGACCAAAACUGACGCUGAGGUGCGAAAGCGUGGGGAGCAAACAGGAUUAGAUACCCCUGUA